RNAcentral lists this ribosomal RNA (163 nucleotides) under Pinanga limosa. Its description in RNAcentral is "5.8S rRNA". It matches the Rfam family "5.8S ribosomal RNA". From Rfam's summary of the family: 5.8S ribosomal RNA (5.8S rRNA) is a component of the large subunit of the eukaryotic ribosome. The record is from RNAcentral. Lineage: Eukaryota; Viridiplantae; Streptophyta; Magnoliopsida; Arecales; Arecaceae.
AUGAUGACUCUCGGCAACGGAUAUCUCGGCUCUCGCAUCGAUGAAGAACGUAGCGAAAUGCGAUACUUGGUGUGAAUUGCAAAAUCCCGUGAACCAUCGAUCUUUGAACGCAAGUUGCGCCUGAGGCCACCCGGUCGAGGGCACGCCUGGCUGGGCAUCACGC